ACACACACUGCACCCCAAACACUCAAGUCCCUGUGUAAAUCUUCACUCCUCCAAGCACAGAGGGAAGCCUGCUCCGUAGGCUCUGUUAAGUGUACUGCUGCCGCUGACAUCAUCAUAAAUAGGAAGGGAGAGAGUCCAGGAACCACAGGGCUCACUUCCUAGCCUCUCUAUUUAAGAUUUUCGAGGGCAGAUGGCACUAUAUUUAACCAGCACAAGUAGUAUUCAUUGUGCCCAGGGCCUCUUAAGGAAAACUGAACAAAGUUUUAGAAUGAACCUGCCCUCACCUCACUCCUGCUCAACCAUUUCACCCAACAACAAGUUAGAGGCAGAGAAGAUGAAUAUUAUUAAAAUGAUGCUUCUAAAUCAGGACCUUAUGGGUGCUUUGGCUCUCAACUUUUUUCAUAAAAUAUCUGUCCAGUCCAGACCGAGGAGCCAGCUUCGACAGCAUUCUGGCAUGAUCAUCUUCCUUGUGGAAUUUGGUUCUGAAUCAAGGGCCUCAGAAACCAAGCCCGGUUCUUUUGGUCUGCAGGAGAGACCCCUCCCUCCUGCCAAGUCUACCUGUUCUGGGAGGAAGCUCCACCCACCCACUGCACCACCAGCAAAGAUGCUGCCUGAACUAAAGGCCAAAGUCCCACAUCCUGUAGGCCAUAAUGAUUGGUUCUGAGAGGUGCCUGUAACUGAGCCAGGCCAAUCAAAGCAGAGCUCCCAGAAAGAGACUCACCCACUCUGUCCCAGUGACCUUGAACCUGGAAGUAGGAGAGCCUGGAGGCUGAGAGUCCGCAGAUGGCACAUAAAGGGUCUUGCUUUGUCACUCAGGCUGGAGUGUAGUGGUGGAAAUUAGCUAGCUAGAACUACAGACGUGCACCACCACAUGUGAAGCCUCAUGACUUAUAUGUCAGAUUAAGCCUUUUGUUAAGAAGAUAUAAGCAUUGUCAUGAGAAACACCAGACUUUGGUUUAAGUUACUGCUCUGCAACUUUCGGACCUACGUGGCCUUACGAAUGCAUAAACUUCUUCCUGGAAGCUGGCGCUACACAGGAGUCAAGCUGCUCUGAAAAGAGAUAUAAGUGAGACUUCUGAAUUUCCCUCCAGCACCCAGAAAAAGCCUCUCGGCAUUGUAGCCCUACCAGGCACGUCAGCACCUGGUUCACGGUAUCUACUCAUAAGGCACUAAAGGAAUGCUCAUUGAAUUAAGAUGAAUGCAGAAGCUAUUAGGAUGACCCCUUGAUGAAGGGAUAAAGGCCUGGAUUAUGGCUUGACAAUGGAAUGAGAGGAAAGGUCAGAUAGGAGAGAGAUUGAGAAAAAAGAAUUGACAAUGCUUGGUAAUUGUCAAACAAUUGGAUGACAGAAUACGUUUAAAAGGGAGCUAUAUUUCACUGGAAGAUAUUUGAUUAUCUACAUUUCAGCCACUCUGAGUAACGAGUGUAAGAACAUUCAGGUGGAAACCUCCAGUGGUCGUGGGGAAUACUGGAAUCAUGCUCAGGAGAUGAAUGAAGAUCAUAGUCAUCUGAAUCAAGGGAUGCAAACUUGCCCCGUGAAUUUAGAGACGACCGACAACUGCCCUGUACUUUCAGAUUACAGCCACGUGUGGAAAACAUCAGAUGCAAUCCCAGCUGCUUUCAGUACAGUCUUGGGAAAAGAGUAAAGAAUUGCUUCCUCCCACAACCCAAACCUCUAUCGCCCAAACCUCAAUCUAUAUGGGACAUCUCAAAUGCAAUACGAGCAAAACUGACCUAAUCCCACACCUGCCCAUUGACUUAAUGAAUAAAGGAAUGAGGUGAAACACCUAC
This is a long non-coding RNA of Homo sapiens (human), 1789 nucleotides long. Ensembl annotates it as SLC24A3 antisense RNA 1. Its record names the gene SLC24A3-AS1. The record is from Ensembl. Lineage: Eukaryota; Metazoa; Chordata; Mammalia; Primates; Hominidae.